UACAGAGGUGGCAAGCGUUGUUCGGAUUUAUUGGGCGUAAAGGGUUCGUAGGCGGUUCUGAAAGUCAGGUGUAGAAACGUCUCACAGGCUUAACUGUGGAACUGCAUUUGAAUACUGUCAGACUAGAGUGGUGAAGGGGUGAAGGGAAUUCCUGGUGUAAGGGUGAAAUCUGCAGAGAUCAGGAAGAACACCUGUCGCGAAGGCGCUUCGACUGGCCCACUACUGACGCUGAGGGAC
This 237-nucleotide ribosomal RNA is filed under the name uncultured bacterium. Its description in RNAcentral is "partial 16S ribosomal RNA". It matches the Rfam family "Bacterial small subunit ribosomal RNA", at positions 524 to 754 of the family's 1533-position model. The record is from RNAcentral.